CGAAAGCCUGACGGAGCAAGACCGCGUGGGGGAGGAAUGCCUUAGGGUUGUAAACCCCUUUUAUCUGGGAAGAACAAAAUGACGGUACCAAAGGAAUCAGCCUCGGCUAACUCCGUGCCAGCAGCCGCGGUAAUACGGAGGAGGCAAGCGUUAUCCGGAAUGAUUGGGCGUAAAGCGUCCGCAGGUGGCAAUGUAAGUCUGCUGUCAAAACCCAGGGCUCAACUCUGGUCAGGCAGUGGAAACUACAUAGCUAGAGUUCGGUAGGGGCAAAGGGAAUUCCCGGUGUAGCGGUGAAAUGCGUAGAGAUCGGGAAGAACAUCGGUGGCGAAAGCGCUCUGCUGGGCCGCAACUGACACUCAGGGACGAAAGCUAGGGGAGCG
RNAcentral lists this ribosomal RNA (380 nucleotides) under uncultured cyanobacterium. Its description in RNAcentral is "bacterial SSU rRNA". It matches the Rfam family "Bacterial small subunit ribosomal RNA", at positions 376 to 770 of the family's 1533-position model. The record is from RNAcentral. Lineage: Bacteria; Bacillati; Cyanobacteriota.